Molecule: long non-coding RNA, 918 nt
Organism: Gorilla gorilla gorilla (western lowland gorilla)
Lineage: Eukaryota; Metazoa; Chordata; Mammalia; Primates; Hominidae
Exons: 3
Source: RefSeq, a predicted model, not a curated record
UCUUUUUAAUAGCCUUCUCAGAAGCAGCCUAAAGAAGAUGGCCUUUUCCUCCUGCAGUCCCAUGGAUGGCAGAUAAAGUGGAUUCUCAGCACAGAGGCCUCAGAGGAGAAGUGCCUUCUACAGUGUAGGUGUACAGCAAGCAUGGAAUGAAUAUUGCAAUUGGGUAGAAGCAGAGCUAAAGAAGGAAUAAGGCCUGGAGCUCACUCUGCCUGUGUCCGAGAACACCUUGAAACGUUCUCUACAUGGAUUUCACUCACAUUACACAUCCUCCCUUUGGAGGGACAGCAUCGUGCCAUGAUAGGUUUCUCCCAAUUCACUCAUGCUUCAUAUGCAGACAGGAGGAAGCAUAAUUCCAAGAAAAGGAGAGAAAAUAAUAAUAUUAAAUGGCUGCCAAGGGAUCUGAGCAAUGGAUUCAACAGGCUGGAUCAGUUCAGCUCACCAGUGUGGCCCUUCCCUAACUGGGAUCCUGGGCCCACCACAUGCUACUUUACUGCCUGAAAGAGGCGAUGACACAAUUUAGUGUUAGAGUGUUAGUGUUCUGCCUCAUCGAAGACAUGGCAUUGUCAUUUUUCAUUUUGGGGAACAGCUUGCAGUACAGAAAGAAAUCAUGUCAGACAGAAAAGGGGAGUCUUUCAACAUAGCAUUCCAUCCUGAGGGAGAAAAAAAACAGAACAAGUGGGCAGUACUGACAUCUGAUUCCAUCCUCCAAUGGCAACACAUAUGCUGAGCCCCAGCCAUCAUCCUCUGCCCAGAGAAGAAGCAGCAAUGGGAAAGUGACAUUUUACAUUAUUCAGUGAUUUCCAAUUUGCAAACUUCUUUAACACAUCUUAUCUCAUCAUCUCCAUAAUUAAUCAUGAAGAAGGCAGGGUAGCUACAGUUAUUUUCAUUUUACAAACAAGGAUUCUGAGACUUUGCAAG